This 375-nucleotide ribosomal RNA is filed under the name uncultured archaeon. Its description in RNAcentral is "bacterial SSU rRNA". It matches the Rfam family "Archaeal small subunit ribosomal RNA", at positions 350 to 727 of the family's 1478-position model. The record is from RNAcentral.
UUGCAGUACACGAAAGUGUGACAGGGUCAUCCCGCGUGCCGACCGCUGAGGUUGGCUUUUACCUAGUCUCGAAAGCUGGGGGAAUAAGGAGAGGGCAAGUCUGGUGUCAGCCGCCGCGGUAAUACCAGCUCUCCGAGUGGUGUGGACGUUUAUUGGGCCUAAAGCAUCCGUAGCUGGCUGUUCAAGUCCCCUGUUAAAUCCACCGAUUUAAUCGUUGGCUUGCGGGGGAUACUGUUCGGCUAGGGGACGAGAGAGGCAGACGGUAUUCCCGGGGUAGGGGUGAAAUCCUAUAAUCCCGAGAGGACCACCAGUGGCGAAGGCUGUCGGCUAGAACGCGCCCGACGGUGAGGGAUGAAAGCUGGGGGAGCGAACCGG